Molecule: ribosomal RNA, 457 nt
Filed under: uncultured microorganism
Description: bacterial SSU rRNA
Rfam family: Bacterial small subunit ribosomal RNA
Source: RNAcentral
GCGCACCAGUCGCGAAUCUUUCGCAAUGGGCGAAAGCCUGACGAAGCGACGCCGUGUGAAUGAAGAAGGCCUUCGGGUUGUAAAGUUCUUUCGCUAGGGAACAAGAGAGGAGAGCUAAUAAUUCUCCGAUUUGAGCGUACCUGGUAAAGAAGCACCGGCUAACUCCGUGCCAGCAGCUGCGGUAAUACGGAGGGUGUAAGCAUUAAUCGGAAUUAUUGGGCGUAAAGGGCGCGUAGGCGGAUUUGCCAGUCAGAUGUGAAAUACCGAGGCUUAACUUCGGUGCUGCAUUUGAUACUACAAAUCUUGAGGAUAGACGGAGAAAACGGAAUUCCACGUGUAGCGGUGGAAUGCGUGGAUAUGUGGAAGAACACCGGUGCGAAGGCGGUUUUCUAGUUUUAUUCCUGACGCUGAGGCGCGAGAGCAAGGGGAGCAAAACAGGAUUAGAUACCCCGGUAGU